Molecule: microRNA precursor, 74 nt
Filed under: Notamacropus eugenii (tammar wallaby)
Lineage: Eukaryota; Metazoa; Chordata; Mammalia; Diprotodontia; Macropodidae
Description: miRNA (ENSMEUG00000017028.1)
Source: RNAcentral
UAUAUAUGCAUAUGUGUGUGUAUAUGUACAUAUAUGUGUAUGUAUAUUCCCUCUAACUACCCUAAUACUGAAAA